RNAcentral lists this non-coding RNA (21 nucleotides) under Arabidopsis thaliana (thale cress). Lineage: Eukaryota; Viridiplantae; Streptophyta; Magnoliopsida; Brassicales; Brassicaceae. The record is from RNAcentral.
UCUAUCAUAGGUGAAAGUGCA